AGGAGCUGAGUAUUUAGAAGAGCUAUUGAGCUCAUCAUGUGUAGGAAGUCCUAAUCCUUGGUGAAUAAUUAAUCUUUUUGUCCAUUAUUUCCUUCUUUCAGAUCUUUUUUCUUUGACAACCCUUCUUUCAGAUCUUAAUUAAUUCUCGAUUUUCUUUUCUUUUCUUUUUCACAUCUUGUUAUCCACUCCGUAUAACCAUGGAAGAACAAGG
Molecule: unclassified non-coding RNA, 211 nt
Filed under: Hevea brasiliensis (rubber tree)
Lineage: Eukaryota; Viridiplantae; Streptophyta; Magnoliopsida; Malpighiales; Euphorbiaceae
Source: RNAcentral